Danio rerio (zebrafish) is the source of this 117-nucleotide non-coding RNA. The record is from Rfam. NCBI's taxonomy places the organism in Eukaryota, Metazoa, Chordata, Actinopteri, Cypriniformes, Danionidae.
GGUCACAGCCAUAUCACCCUGCAGCCCGAGAGCAGCUACUCACUAAAGUUUAGCAGGGCUGAGCCUGGUCGGUACCUGGAUGGGAGACCACAUGGGAAAAAUAGGUUGCUGUUGGAA